AAUCUUUGAACGCACAUUGCGCCCUCUGGUAUUCCGGGGGGCAUGCCUGUUCGAGCGUCAUUACAACCCUCAAGCUCUGCUUGGUAUUGGGCUCGCCCUUCAGGGCUUGCCUCAAAGUCAGUGGCGGCUACCGUCCGACCUUCAGCGCAGUACUAUUCGUCGCUGUUAGGGAAGGCCUACAACCCGUCAUCACAACCCCCACUUUACAAGGUUGACCUCGGAUCAGGUAGGGAUACCCGCUGAACUUAAGCAUAUCAAUAAGCGGAGGAAAAGAAACCAACAGGGAUUGCCUCAGUAACGGCGAGUGAAGCGGCAAAAGCUCAAAUUUGAAAGCUGGCUCCUUCGGGGUCCGCGUUGUAAUUUGUAGAGGAUGCUUCGGGCGCGGCUCCGGUCUAAGUUCUCUGGAACGAGACGUCAUAGAGGGUGAGAAUCCCGUAUGUGACCGGCUGCCUGUGCCCAUGUGAAGCUCCUUCGACGAGUCGAGUUGUUUGGGAAUGCAGCUCAAAAUGGGAGGUGUACUCCUUCUAAAGCUAAAUAUUGGCCAGAGACCGAUAGCGCACAAGUAGAGUGAUCGAAAGAUGAAAAGCACUUUGGAAAGAGAGUUAAACAGUACGUGAAAUUGUUGAAAGGGAAGCGCUUGCAAUCAGACUUGCGCGGCGUCGAUCAACCUGGGUUCUCCCUGGUGCACUCGGCGCCGCUCAGGCCAGCAUCAGUUUCGGCGGUGGGAUAAAGGCUGAGGGAACGUGGGUCACCUCGGUGACCGUUAUAGCCCUCGGUGCAAUGCCGCCUGCCGGGACUGAGGACCGCGCU
Molecule: ribosomal RNA, 810 nt
Filed under: Leotiomycetes sp. genotype 507
Lineage: Eukaryota; Fungi; Ascomycota; Leotiomycetes
Description: eukaryotic LSU rRNA
Rfam family: Eukaryotic large subunit ribosomal RNA (bases 213-810)
Source: RNAcentral